UGUGGGAGGGGGCUUGCUCCCGAUAGCGGUGUACCAGUCGCCAUUGGUUUUGACUGGUAGAUCGCUAUCGGGAGCAAGCCCCCUCCCACA
Molecule: unclassified non-coding RNA, 90 nt
Filed under: Pseudomonas extremaustralis
Lineage: Bacteria; Pseudomonadati; Pseudomonadota; Gammaproteobacteria; Pseudomonadales; Pseudomonadaceae
Source: RNAcentral